GAUGAACGCUGGCGGCGUGCCUAAUACAUGCAAGUCGAGCGAACGGACGAGAAGCUUGCUUCUCUGAUGUUAGCGGCGGACGGGUGAGUAACACGUGGAUAACCUACCUAUAAGACUGGGAUAACUUCGGGAAACCGGAGCUAAUACCGGAUAAUAUUUUGAACCGCAUGGUUCAAAAGUAAAAGACGGCCUUGCUGUCACUUAUAGAUGGAUCCGCGCUGCAUUAGCUAGUUGGUAAGUUAACGGCUUACCAAGGCAACGAUGCAUAGCCGACCUGAGAGAGUGAUCGGCCACACUGGAACUGAGACACGGUCCAGACUCCUACGGGAGGCAGCAGUAGGGAAUCGUCCGCAAUGGGCGAAAGCCUGACGGAGCAACGCCGCGUGAGUGAUGAAGGUCUUCGGAUCGUAAAACUCUGUUAUGAGGGAAGAACAUAUGUGUAAGUAGCUGUGCACAUCGUGACGGUACCUAAUCAGAAAGCCACGGCUAACUACGUG
RNAcentral lists this ribosomal RNA (497 nucleotides) under uncultured bacterium. RNAcentral describes it as "partial 16S ribosomal RNA". It matches the Rfam family "Bacterial small subunit ribosomal RNA", at positions 28 to 507 of the family's 1533-position model. The record is from RNAcentral.